Molecule: long non-coding RNA, 3627 nt
Organism: Astatotilapia calliptera (eastern happy)
Lineage: Eukaryota; Metazoa; Chordata; Actinopteri; Cichliformes; Cichlidae
Source: Ensembl
ACUGCGGCUCACAUGACCGCAGUCGGUGCUUCCUCACUGCGCUGAGGAGCCGUGCAGGGGCCGACUCCAAGCUCCAGCUCUACGGGAAUAACAGCCCAGGGGAGCGGGGGGACAGCUGACAUGAGCUGCUGUUAGUCGGUGAAGCUGUGAGCCGUUCUCUCAGAUCCUAGAUGUGUCCAUGCUGCAGGCCGGGGAUCCUGGAUGGGAAAGAAGCAGACGAAUGUUUAUUCCAGCCCCUGCAGUGAAAACAUAGCACAGGCAAAACACAGAGACUCUCUGCUGGGCAACAUGAGUACAGACAGACCCAAGCGGAACGUCAUCAGAAAAAGAUAUGCUCUGUAGUUAACACUGCGAUCAAGCGUCGGGCAGCUGGUCCAAACUGGAGCUGGUCCUUACAGACGCAACAACGCCAUCCUACCAGCAGUCGUGGUGAUGAAGAUGAUUGUGCCAAAAACAGACCUCGGCUGCACGCACAGAGAAAGUUUGCUCAGUCCCCACCCAGCUCUCCAGGACCAUUGGUGCUGAUGAGGUCUGCACAGAAUACCCACUCCCACAGCCUGGCUGUAGUCACCUGUCUGACCAAACGUCGCCCUAAGACUGAGGACUUUUUGUCUUUUCUCUGUUUAAGAGGUUCAGCAGCAUUACCGCGCAACAUGGCAUUCUUAACAAGUAAGCGAGACAGGGAGCCAGGUGACAGUCAGCGUUUGCCUUCCUGUCACAAGGCUCCAGCUGAGGAGAAGAAAAUCAGGAUGUUAUGUAGAAAAACAGUGCACAGUGACUCCAGGUCACUGAAGAGGAGGCCUGCCAGCCCUGCUGUGCUCAGAUCCACCUGCCCUUUAACAGCUCGAGCACAGAAAAGGAUGGACAGCGAUGAAAGAGAAGGGAAGCAACAGAAGAAGGGAGUGGAGGGGGACAGGCGAGAGGGCGCUCAGAUACACCUCCUGAGACCUCGCCAGCACUUACUUCAUGUCAAGAGGGCUAACAAGGUUGCCAUGGUUACUAAAAUCUCUGAGCAAAGAACCUCCUGUGUAGCGUCAGUCAUUCCUUUAACGCCGAGAACUGGUGUUGGUAACAAACAAGGCACAAGGCCAAGCAAUACAUACAAAUCAAGGCGCCAUCCCCAAAGCAGAGCCCAGGAAAGCAGCAACAAGUACCACCCCCUACAUCACAACCACCGUCGGGCUAACAAUCAGCACCUUCGCCACCCAACGCUUUCUAAAUACUAUAGCAUCCACACAACCUUCAGUAUUCUCCACAAUUCAGGAAGAAAUUCAUGCCAAACUCCAUGUUUAAAUAAACGUUCAGUGUCUAGACGGCUGAAUGAGAACCCUGUGGUCCUGAGGUUAUCCAGACGGAGGAGAGGCCUUCCACCAGACACCAGCCCUGUCCUUCCGAAUCGGGUUCCCUUGGACAAAAACUCAUCAAAUGAGUGCCAGACAUCUCAGGACAAAGAUGCUCGUGUCUCACAGGAGAGUGAUAUUUACGAGAUUCAGCAGAAAGGGGACAAUGUUAGAGAGGAUUAUGUGAACAUGUGUAAACACUCUGGUAACCACGAUGUGAAAGCUGUAGGAAAAAGAUACGGGCAUGUUGGAGAUGUGAAACUUGAGAGGGGAAAGGGAAAUAUAGAAAAGCUGCCUGUGGCAAGCACAGCUGCUCUGGAGGCCUCUGAUCAAAGGGAAAGCCUCACUAAUGUCAGCACUAGCUAUAACCUCAUGCCUGCUGGUGAGGUUGUAUGGAAACACCUGAGAGAGAAAACACUCCAAAAACAUCAGAACUCUACAAUCUUAAAGCCACCUGCCAGGGCUAAUGAGUCCAGGGCUGCUGCUAGGACUAGUGUAACUAAAGCUGCUAUUAACUCAGUGACAUCUGACCCACCAGCCAAUUCUUUUUCCAGGCACAGUGCCAAGGGUACUGAUAACAGCAAGAAAAUUAAGAAGAGUAGUUUACGAGCCGGCACCAACAUAGCCCAUGAAUCCAAAAGUGCUACAAAACAGUCUUCAAUGAGCACCACGAAGGACACAUGCAAGGAUGGUGCACUUACCAUCAGUUACUGUAGCACUUCCAAAGAGGGGCUUCUCCAGGCCAAGCCUACUACCUCAGCCAUCAAGACCAGGUUCAGCUCUAGAAUCCUUCUAAAGCACUGAUUUUUAAACAGUAUCCAAACAUGAAUACACUCACUGUUAUGUAACUAAGAUUUUAUGAUGACAAGUACAGAAAUGUUUUUAAAAGCUUUUAUUGUGUUGAAUAGUGGCAGAGCAUGAUGAUGGGUUUCCUGUCAGACAGUACAUGUCCUGUACUGGUGUCAUUGUUGAAGAUAAAAUAAACUGGAAGUCAUGAUACUGGCUGAUGCACUAUAACGUGGACUGUAUGAUGCAGAAGUGAUAAAGCUUAAAAGCUGCUAGCUUUCAGUUUUUUCAUUGUUUGCUUUUUGUCUGUUUAUUUUCUUCUUGCUUGCUAUUUCUCUUACUGUAUCUUGGAAAAAAAAUAAAAGUAUGGGGGGGGGCACCUUUUAGCACAUUAUGGUAAAUGGACUACUCAGUGUGAGCUGUCAAAGCACUUUUUCUACACGUUUCAUUCACUCAUUCACGCACAAUGCGUUUAUCUGUCUAAAGUGCAUUUACAUAACAAUCGCACACACUUUGAUGGGAGAUCCAUGAGCGGACCUCGGGGUUCAUUAUCUGCUUGAAGGAUUCUGUGACACAUGGACAGCUGGAGCCAGGCAUCAAGCCGCCGACCUGGUAGAGCACCAGCUCUGCCUCGGAGCCGCGGCCACCACGAGGUCAACAUUUUGUUUGAACAGCUACAGUAGUUGGUCUCCUCGGCUCCCAGCUGCCCUCGGGCUUCUGUCCUAACAUUUCUGAAACGUGUUGCUAACUUGAAAUUUAUGUAUUCAAAAUAAUAAAAACAGUUUUAAAAUUGAAGCUUUAACAUUUGACAUUUUUAUACUACUGCUACAUUUUGACCCAAGACAGUUUGUUGUACUACAUAAUGUCGCGUUUAAUCAGUCUGCAUAUUUUAUCUGCAUUGCCAAUAAUAACUUUUGCACUAUUUUAGGACCAUAAUAAACGUUUCAGCUAACAUAAUUUACUAAUGCUAGAAUGUAAAGAAUGCAAUAACAGCACCACUGCUGCAUCAAGCAACGUGCAGCAUGACCCCUGGGUGUUUGCUACCCGGGGGAUCAAACCCUCUGUGGGGCAAGUGUUGCCAUCUUGGAGGAUGGAGGUUGGUCCUAGACGAUGGAAAUACAAGAUUUCCACUGAUAUGUUUCUUGAGUGAGAUUAAUGACAAGCCUCAUUUUUCCAGUAAGGACUAUGCUACCCUAUAUUUCUAUGCUGCCUCCACCAAAAGCUGUUGUUCUCCGAGCCUUCCUCACACUUUGACCCUAUGAUCAAACUGCCAUAGGCGGAAUCUGGACUCAGUGCUGACAGACUGUUCCUCUCAAUGUUCAUGUCCCAGAACAUGUUACUGACACCAGCACAGACAAGUCAAGCUCACAAGUAUUAGAUCUGCUCAUUCGGAAAAUCAUCGGCUGCAGGAUUAGUGAAGCUGAAGCAAACGCUGAGAUUACAGCUGUAACUGUAUCCUGAUGCAUAGAAAGUGGUUGAUUAAUAAAAUAAACAUUUAAAU